UUGGAGGGCAAGUCUGGUGCCAGCAGCCGCGGUAAUUCCAGCUCCAAUAGCGUAUAUUAAAGUUGUUGCAGUUAAAAGGCUCGUAGUUGAAUUUCGGGAUUGACACAUCGGUCGUGCCUUAAGGGGUAUGAACUGGUGUAGUCAAUUUCUCACCUUCUGGAGAACCGCAAUGCCCUUAAUUGGGUGUUGCGGGGAACCAGGACCUUUACUUUGAAAAAAUUAGAGUGUUUAAAGCAGGCAUUUUGCUUGAAUACAUUAGCAUGGAAUAAUAAAAUAGGACGGCAUGGUUCUAUUUUGUUGGUUUCUAGGAUCACCGUAAUGAUUAAUAGGGAUAGUUGGGGGCAUUAGUAUUCAAUUGUCAGAGGUGAAAUUCUUGGAUUUAUUGAAGACUAACUACUGCGGAAGCAUUUGCCAAGGAUGUUUUCAUUAAUCAAGAACGAAAGUUAGGGGACCGAAGACGAUCAGAUACCGUCGUAGUCUUAACCAUAAACUAUGCCGACUAGGAAUCAGGCGAUGUUAAUUUUUUAAUGACUCAUUCGGCGCCUUACGGGAAAC
RNAcentral lists this ribosomal RNA (555 nucleotides) under uncultured Glomus. RNAcentral describes it as "SSU rRNA". It matches the Rfam family "Eukaryotic small subunit ribosomal RNA", at positions 548 to 1098 of the family's 1831-position model. The record is from RNAcentral. Lineage: Eukaryota; Fungi; Glomeromycota; Glomeromycetes; Glomerales; Glomeraceae.